This 69-nucleotide transfer RNA is filed under the name Aleeta curvicosta. RNAcentral describes it as "tRNA-Phe". Lineage: Eukaryota; Metazoa; Arthropoda; Insecta; Hemiptera; Cicadidae. The record is from RNAcentral.
AUUUAAAUAGCUUAAAAAUUAGAGCACAAUAUUGAAGAUAUUGAGGUAAUUAAUAAAUAUUUUUAAAUA